Molecule: long non-coding RNA, 366 nt
Organism: Branchiostoma floridae (Florida lancelet)
Lineage: Eukaryota; Metazoa; Chordata; Leptocardii; Amphioxiformes; Branchiostomatidae
Exons: 4
Source: RefSeq, a predicted model, not a curated record
CGGGCACAAGGUAAUUUUCUUGGGUCAAAGGUAUGCAGAUGUCAGAAGGUACAGAGCACAUUCUGGCAAUAUAUGUCUUUGGAAAAGGGCACAUGAGUGGAAUGACUAUUACUUGAUCGUUUGCUGGUAUCAUUUCGUUGCAUUGUACCUUCAUUUAUGUGGUAAGUUAUUAAAUUUAAACGUCGUUUCCAAUCAACCAUCACUGCACUUGCAAAAAACGGACGGAGGCCAAUGAGACAUUGGGUGACAAAAAUAGCAGUUAAUCAUAUAACUUCUGGAGACUCGUCAAACAUUUUGCGAAAGAGAUAUUUACAUAGGUCAUCAAAGAAAGGGCAUUAAAGAAGGUUAUACCACGGUUGAAAAUAA